RNAcentral lists this ribosomal RNA (274 nucleotides) under uncultured archaeon. RNAcentral describes it as "partial 16S ribosomal RNA". It matches the Rfam family "Archaeal small subunit ribosomal RNA", at positions 345 to 620 of the family's 1478-position model. The record is from RNAcentral.
AACCUUUACAAUGCACGAAAGUGUGAUAAGGGAAUCCUAAGUGCUUUGCUUUUAGCAAAGCUUUUGCCAAGAGCAAAAAUCUUGGCGAAUAAGUGGUGGGUAAUACCUGUGCCAGCCGCCGCGGUAACCCAGGAGCCACAAGUGGCAACCGCUUUUAUUGGGCCUAAAGCGUCCGUAGCCGGUUCAGCAAAUUUCCUGUGAAAUCGUUGGGCUCAACCUAACGUCGUGCAGGGAAGACUACUGGACUAGGGACCGGGAGGCGUCAGAGGUAUUC